CUUCUGGCUCCAAAAAUCAAACAUGGCGAUGGCCAAAUCCAAGAUGGCGAGGGUCAAAGCGCUGCACCCGAGGCUUCAAAACGGCAAUGUUUCUCUAAUCGUUUCCCAUUCACUCAUUCAGUUUAUUUAGCUAUACAUUUCCAGGACAGGAAAUUGAGAGUAGAGUGCUAUUCCUCUCUAAAUUUUGCACUGGCCUUACUGGUAAAUGAUGAUGUGGUCCAUGGUGAUAUACUUUGAUGUGUUGUUGUUACAGACCAUGCCUAAGAGGAUGUAUGCAGAGUCACAGAGUGAUGUAGAUGAUACAAAUACAUCAAAUACGAUAUGUCAUAUUUUCCAUAACAGUAUUCAAACAUUGUUUUUCAUAGCUUCAGACUGUGUUGUAGUAAUUGAGCUGUCAUUGCUCUUAGUUUUACUAGGCUUACAAACCUGUGUAUAAUAUUUGUUUUCAUGUUGUGCUCAACAUUAGGAUGAUGCCCCAGUUGAUGAUGAAGCUGACAACAACAGAGCUCAAGACAAUUCUCCAGUCUCCUCAGCGGCUCUUUAGGUUAAAAACCCAGCUGCCUCAAGCAAUGAUGCGGCUCGUUCAGGUGACAAUGCAGCUGCCUCAGGUGAUGACACGGCGGCUGUCUCAGAGGACAAUGUGGCUGCCUCAAAGAGCACCUAAAGCAUUAGCAGGCAUUUGGUAGUUCAGUUGGCUGCCUCAGGUGACGACGCAGCUCUCCCAGAUGAUGACGCGGCUCUCUGAGAUGACAAUGUUGCUGCCUCAGACAGCGCCCAAAGCAUUGGCAGACAACACAGUCGGUAGCUUAGGUGAAGUGUGCUCAUUGUUGCUGUCCUCUAGGAUCAAUGAAGUUCAGUUUUUGGCAGCAUCUUAGUUUGUGGUACUUUAAUUAGAUGUAAUUUGGCAUACUUUAUAUCAAAAUAAAAGGUCUAUUGGGCAAAAAGACAGACAUAGCUAAUGUUAAUGUUAUAGCAUGCAUUGUACAUUGUUUUCCAAUUAAAAUUUUUUUGUGAGAUUUCAGACACACUGAUUGCACCCAAAAAGACGAGCAUACACUGUUCGGUUUUAGAAAUCUUGUUGAAUUCCGACUCAUACUGCACAAGUACGGUCCAACCGUCAAGCCACAACCUGAGUGCUUACACUAUAUGUGAAGAACAGAAACUAAAAACAGCCCGUCAGCCCCCGCAGACCAUUCAAAGACAGUUCAAUUCAAGUUUUGAUCUCUUUCUCUCUCUCACAAACACUCACACAAACACACACACACACAUAGUGUUGUGUUGUCAGCAUCAGCAGGUGAAGAGCAGUGUCUCUUUCCUGCCAACCUUUCGUGAUAGUCGUGACAGAACAUGAAAGAGGUGCAGUGAGGAAAAAAGGCACUGGAGACUUUGGAAAAUCGAUUUGUGAGUUCGCUUCAACCUUGCACGGGGCUGACGACGGCUGACCAAAGAUU
Thunnus maccoyii (southern bluefin tuna) is the source of this 1451-nucleotide long non-coding RNA. RefSeq lists it as uncharacterized. The transcript has 4 exons. The record is from RefSeq and is a predicted model, not a curated record. NCBI's taxonomy places the organism in Eukaryota, Metazoa, Chordata, Actinopteri, Scombriformes, Scombridae.